AGAUUGAACGCUGGCGGCAUGCCUAACACAUGCAAGUCGAACGGGAGUAGCAAUACUCUAGUGGCGGACGGGUGAGGAAUACGUAGGAAUUUGCCCUUAAGUGGGGGAUAACCCGGGGAAACCCGGAUUAAUACCGCGUGACCUCGAAAGAGCAAAGUGGGGGAUCGCAAGACCUCACGCUUUUGGAGAAGCCUACGUCGGAUUAGCUAGUUGGUGAGGUAAUGGCUCACCAAGGCGACGAUCCGUAACUGGUCCUGAGAGGAUGAUCAGUCACACCGGAACUGAGACACGGUCCGGACUCCUACGGGAGCAGCAGUAGGGGAAUAUUGGACCAGUGGGCACGAAGCCUGAUCCAGCAAUGCCGCGUGUGUAGAAGAAGGUCCUUGGUAGUAA
RNAcentral lists this ribosomal RNA (393 nucleotides) under uncultured soil bacterium. RNAcentral's name for it is "bacterial SSU rRNA". It matches the Rfam family "Bacterial small subunit ribosomal RNA", at positions 26 to 428 of the family's 1533-position model. The record is from RNAcentral.